Molecule: non-coding RNA, 413 nt
Organism: Sturnus vulgaris (Common starling)
Lineage: Eukaryota; Metazoa; Chordata; Aves; Passeriformes; Sturnidae
Source: RefSeq, a predicted model, not a curated record
AAGCCCAAGGAAAUCUACAGGAAGCCACUGAGACUGUCCACUCACUGCUCUGGAGACAAGAAAAGGCAAAAGGUGUAAGGGCCUCAUUCCAGCCCUCCACACCACAGAGACGUGACUGUGUCACAUCUGCACUGCACUCUCUCUUUCAUUGUGCUACCAAGAGCGUUCUGCUGUGUGCUGAGAGUCUCGCCAAGGAAAAGGUUUCUUGAGCUGGGAAAAAUGAUCUUCACCAUGGCUGUGCCAGCAUGUGUCCUGCUAAUCCAGUCAGCUUUUAGUUUACAAGUCAGAUGUAUGCCAAAGGAGCAACAGGACUCUGACUGCAGCAUAGCAUGGCGUGAAGGGCUCUGGGCACAGCUGAGGCUGCAGGAGGGCUGCGAGUCCCCGGGGACUCCGUGAGCCUUUCCUGCCACUUG